This 317-nucleotide ribosomal RNA is filed under the name uncultured eukaryote. Its description in RNAcentral is "partial 18S ribosomal RNA". It matches the Rfam family "Eukaryotic small subunit ribosomal RNA", at positions 1470 to 1796 of the family's 1831-position model. The record is from RNAcentral.
CCCUUAGAUGUCCUGGGCCGCACGCGUGCUACACUGACGCAUACAACGAGUAUUUCCAGCUCCGAGAGGUAGCUGGUAAUCAGCAAUAUGCGUCGUGAUGGGGAUUGAUCUUUGGAAUUGUGGAUCAUGAACGAGGAAUGCCUAGUAAGCGCAGUUCAUCAAACUGCGUUGAUUAAGUCCCUGCCCUUUGUACACACCGCCCGUCGCUCCUACCGAUUUCGAGUGGUCCGGUGAACCUUUCGGACUGAGAGUGGCCUCGAGUCGCUUUUAGAAAGUCAAGUAAACCACNUNACUUAUNGGAAGGAGAANUCGUANCA